This 170-nucleotide ribosomal RNA is filed under the name Oncorhynchus clarkii (cutthroat trout). RNAcentral describes it as "partial 12S rRNA". The record is from RNAcentral. Lineage: Eukaryota; Metazoa; Chordata; Actinopteri; Salmoniformes; Salmonidae.
CACCGCGGUUAUACGAGAGGCCCUAGUUGAUAACUACCGGCGUAAAGAGUGGUUAUGGAAAAAUAUUUAAUAAAGCCGAACACCCCCUCAGCCGUCAUACGCACCUGGGAGCACGAAGACCUACUGCGAAAGCAGCUUUAACUGUACCUGACCCCACGACAGCUAAGAAA